RNAcentral lists this transfer RNA (70 nucleotides) under Marmota monax (woodchuck). Its description in RNAcentral is "tRNA.Ala". The record is from RNAcentral. Lineage: Eukaryota; Metazoa; Chordata; Mammalia; Rodentia; Sciuridae.
GGGUGUAUAGGUCAGUGGUAGAGCAUGUGCUGAGCAUGCAUAAGCCUGGGUUCAAUCCCCAACACGUGCA